UGGGGAAUAUUGCACAAUGGAGGAAACUCUGAUGCAGCAACGCCGCGUGAAGGACGAAGGUUUUCGGAUUGUAAACUUCUUUUAUCGGGGAAGAUAAUGACGGUACCCGAUGAAUAAGCCACGGCUAACUACGUGCCAGCAGCCGCGGUAAUACGUAGGUGGCAAGCGUUGUCCGGAAUUACUGGGUGUAAAGGGCGAGUAGGCGGGACUAUAAGUCAGAUGUGAAAUGCAAAGGCUCAACCUUUGAACUGCAUUUGAAACUAUAGUUCUUGAGUGAUGGAGAGGCAGGCGGAAUUCCCGGUGUAGCGGUGGAAUGCAUAGAUAUCGGGAGGAACACCAGUGGCGAAGGCGGCCUGCUGGACAUUAACUGACGCUGAGGAGCGAAAGCGUGGGGAGCAAACA
This is a ribosomal RNA of 402 nucleotides. It matches the Rfam family "Bacterial small subunit ribosomal RNA", at positions 355 to 774 of the family's 1533-position model.